AUGAAUGCUAGCGACAGGCUAACACAUGCAAGUCGAGGGGCAGCAUAAAAGUAGCAAUACUUGGUGGCGACCGGCGCACGGGUGAGUAACGCGUAUGCAACCUACCUAUCAGAGGGGAAUAACCCGGCGAAAGUCGGACUAAUACCGCAUAAUACUAAAUUACUGCAUGGUAAUUUAUUUAAACAUUUAUGGCUUACAGAUGGGCAUGCGCAUGAUUAGCUAGUUGGAGAGGUAACGGCUCCCCAAGGCAACGAUCAUUAGGGGUUCUGAGAGGAAGGUCCCCCACACUGGUACUGAGACACGGACCAGACUCCUACGGGAGGCAGCAGUGAGGAAUAUUGGUCAAUGGACGAGAGUCUGAACCAGCCAAGUCGCGUGCAGGAAGAAUGUCCUAUGGAUUGUAAACUGCUUUUGCAGGGGAAUAAAGUGCAUCACGUGUGAUGUUUUGUAUGUACUCUGCGAAUAAGGAUCGGCUAACUCCGUGCCAGCAGCAGC
Molecule: ribosomal RNA, 495 nt
Filed under: uncultured bacterium
Lineage: Bacteria
Description: bacterial SSU rRNA
Rfam family: Bacterial small subunit ribosomal RNA
Source: RNAcentral